Molecule: ribosomal RNA, 253 nt
Filed under: uncultured bacterium
Lineage: Bacteria
Description: partial 16S ribosomal RNA
Rfam family: Bacterial small subunit ribosomal RNA
Source: RNAcentral
GACGAACCGUGCGAGCGUUGUUCGGAAUCACUGGGCUUAAAGGGCGCGUAGGCGGGCACGCAAGUCAGGGGUGAAAUCCUCCGGCUCAACCGGAGAACAGCUUUUGAUACUGCGUGCCUCGAGGGGGGUAGGGGCAUGUGGAACUUCCGGUGGAGCGGUGAAAUGCGUAGAUAUCGGAAGGAACAUCAGUGGCGAAAGCGACUUCCUGGACCAAUACUGACGCUCAUGUGCGAAAGCGUGGGGAGCAAACAGG